This 460-nucleotide ribosomal RNA is filed under the name uncultured bacterium. RNAcentral describes it as "partial 16S ribosomal RNA". It matches the Rfam family "Bacterial small subunit ribosomal RNA", at positions 338 to 795 of the family's 1533-position model. The record is from RNAcentral.
CCUACGCGAGGCAGCAGUGAGGAAUAUUGGUCAAUGGGCGCAAGCCUGAACCAGCCAAGUCGCGUGAGGGAUGACGGUCCUAUGGAUUGUAAACCUCUUUUGUCGGGGAGCAAGGCCCGCCACGUGUGGCGGGAAGGAGAGGACCCGUAGAAAAAGCACCGGCAAACUCUGCGCCAGCAGCCGCGGUAAUACGGGGGAUGCGAGGUUUAUCCGGUUUUAGUGGGUUUAAAGGGUGCGUAGGCGGAAGGUUAAGUCAGCGGUCAACUGUCGGUGCUCAACACCGGCCUGCCGUUGAAACUGGUCUUCUGGAGUGAGCGGGAAGUAGGCGGAAUGCGUGGUGUAGCGGUGAAAUGCAUAGAUAUCACGCAGAACUCCGAUUGCGAAGGCAGCAUACCGGCGCUCAACUGACGCUGAGGCACGAAAGCGUGGGGAUCGAACAGGAUUAGAUACCCUUGUAGUC